This 253-nucleotide ribosomal RNA is filed under the name uncultured bacterium. RNAcentral describes it as "partial 16S ribosomal RNA". It matches the Rfam family "Bacterial small subunit ribosomal RNA", at positions 524 to 776 of the family's 1533-position model. The record is from RNAcentral.
UACAGAGGGUGCAAGCGUUAAUCGGAAUCACUGGGCGUAAAGCGUGCGUAGAUGGCGCAGCAAGUCAGAUGUGAAAGCCCCGGGCUUAACCCGGGAACUGCAUUUGAUACUACUGCGCUAGAGUAUGGAAGAGGGAAGCGGAAUUCCGCAUGUAGCAGUGAAAUGCGUAGAUAUGCGGAGGAACACCAAUGGCGAAGGCAGCUUCCUGGUCCAAUACUGACAUUGAGGCACGAAAGCGUGGGGAUCAAACAGG